This 222-nucleotide long non-coding RNA is filed under the name Elaeis guineensis (African oil palm). RNAcentral's name for it is "long non-coding RNA (EGUI_LNC007573)". Lineage: Eukaryota; Viridiplantae; Streptophyta; Magnoliopsida; Arecales; Arecaceae. The record is from RNAcentral.
CAUCUUUUUUCUUUUUAAGAGAAAAAGGAGAGAGAAGAAAGAAAGAGCCCUAGACCUAGAUACGUAAGGUGGAAAGAAUUAAUUAUGGUUUAGUGUUAAUUACAAUCAAGUUAGCAAACAAUUAAACCUAGACACCUAUGAGUUUCUUAGACCUAACAGUUCGAUGUAGAGUGGUUUAGUUUAGAUACAAAUUGGAUUUAUUCUUACUUCCUUCAACUAGCC